CCAAAGGCUCUUUUCAGAGCCACAUACUUUCUCGUAAGAAGAGCUGU
This is a non-coding RNA of Struthio camelus australis, 47 nucleotides long. NCBI's taxonomy places the organism in Eukaryota, Metazoa, Chordata, Aves, Struthioniformes, Struthionidae. The record is from Rfam.